UUAGCGGAUGAGAGAAUUUCAGAAACAGCCACUGAGAACAGAGGGCCCUUUUAUAGUGGAUUGGACUAAACUUACCCGCCACCCUUUUUUUUUUUUUUUUUUUUUUUUUAAUAUCUGAAACAGUAAAAGCGAGCGAGAGAAAAGAAAGCUACGUGAUCUUCUUCUACAAUGUCGAUCAUUUUCUGUUCUUGACUCCGGCCGGUGAUGCAUCUCCAGACCACGAAUCGGAAGCCGAGAUGUUGAAUGGAGGAAAACAACUCGAAAAGACAAUAAUACUCGAAUUGAUGACUGGUUCAGAACAACGAAUUAGUACAAGAAACAAGAAGAAAUCAAUGACAGAAACAAGAAAC
Long non-coding RNA from Cucurbita moschata (crookneck pumpkin), 350 nucleotides. RefSeq lists it as uncharacterized. The record is from RefSeq and is a predicted model, not a curated record. Lineage: Eukaryota; Viridiplantae; Streptophyta; Magnoliopsida; Cucurbitales; Cucurbitaceae. The transcript is spliced from 2 exons.